GGAUGAAGAACGUAGCGAAAUGCGAUAAGUAGUGUGAAUUGCAGAAUUCAGUGAAUCAUCGAAUCUUUGAACGCACAUUGCGCCCCUUGGUAUUCCAUGGGGCAUGCCUGUUCGAGCGUCAUUUACACCCUCAAGCUCUGCUUGGUGUUGGGCGUCUGUCCCGCUGCUUUGCGCGGACUCGCCUCAAAGGUAUUGGCAGCGAUCAUGCCAGCUUCUCGCGCAGCACAUUGCGCUUCUUGAAGUUCUGGUGGAUCAGCGUCCAUUAAGCUUACCUUCAUGACUUGACCUCGGAUCAGGUAGGGAUACCCGCUGAACUUAAGCAUAUCAAUAGCGGAGGA
RNAcentral lists this unclassified non-coding RNA (338 nucleotides) under soil metagenome. Its description in RNAcentral is "partial contains 5.8S ribosomal RNA, internal transcribed spacer 2, and large subunit ribosomal RNA". The stretch from base 2 to 121 matches the Rfam family "5.8S ribosomal RNA", at positions 35 to 154 of the family's 154-position model. The record is from RNAcentral.